CGAGUGGCGGACGGGUGAGUAACGUCUGGGAAACUGCCCGAUGGAGGGGGAUAACUACUGGAAACGGUAGCUAAUACCGCAUAAUGUCGCAAGACCAAAGAGGGGGACCUUCGGGCCUCUUGCCAUCGGAUGUGCCCAGAUGGGAUUAGCUAGUAGGUGGGGUAACGGCUCACCUAGGCGACGAUCCCUAGCUGGUCUGAGAGGAUAACCAGCCACACUGGAACUGAGACACGGUCCAG
Molecule: ribosomal RNA, 239 nt
Filed under: uncultured bacterium
Lineage: Bacteria
Description: partial 16S ribosomal RNA
Rfam family: Bacterial small subunit ribosomal RNA
Source: RNAcentral